GAGUUUUAGAUUGAGGUUUAAACAUUCGUCUAUCAAGAAAUGCAAAUUAACUGAAAUGAAAUUUUAUUGAGAGAAAAAAAAACGAAAAUGAAAAAUAAUGAAAAAGUAAAAGAAAAACCCGUUGAAGGCACAUCAGUGUAAACUAACGGACUUCAAAAAACAUAACAGAAAAUCAAUAGGCAAGAGCAUCAUCGUCAGAAAGAUGAGAAUCCAUGAUGUCCCCCCAACAUUGAGAAGAGACCGCCGUCAUCGCAAGACCGGCAGCAUCCCC
Molecule: long non-coding RNA, 271 nt
Filed under: Salvia miltiorrhiza (redroot sage)
Lineage: Eukaryota; Viridiplantae; Streptophyta; Magnoliopsida; Lamiales; Lamiaceae
Description: long non-coding RNA (SMIL_LNC011643)
Source: RNAcentral